RNAcentral lists this ribosomal RNA (918 nucleotides) under Triticum aestivum (bread wheat). Its description in RNAcentral is "partial small subunit ribosomal RNA". Lineage: Eukaryota; Viridiplantae; Streptophyta; Magnoliopsida; Poales; Poaceae. The record is from RNAcentral.
AUGGCUCGAGCAAGAGUGAUCGCAGCGCUGGCUGUGGCGUUACUGGGCUGCGCAUUGGCCGUCGCCGGGGACGACGUCGCCCCAAGUGCGUCCCGACCCAAGGCGCAGCCCCCUGCGCCCGGGGGACUGCUGAAGGCGCACGCCACGUUCUACGGCGGCGCCGACGGCGCUGGCACCAUGGGCGGCGCGUGCGGGUACGGCAACCUCUACUCGGCCGGGUACGGCGCGAGCACGACGGCGCUGAGCACGGCGCUGUUCAACGACGGCGCGUCGUGCGGGCAGUGCUACAGGAUCGCGUGCGACGGCAAGCGGGCGGACCCCCGGUGGUGCAAGCUCGGCGAGGCGGUGACCGUUACGGCCACCAACUUCUGCCCGCCCAACUACGACCUGCCGAGCGACGACGGUGGCUGGUGCAAUCCGCCGCGGCCGCACUUCGACAUGGCGCAGCCGGCCUGGGAGAAGAUCGGCGUCUAUCGGGCCGGCAUCAUCCCCGUCGUAUACCAAAGGUUUCUGUCUUCAAUCUACUCUCAUCUGAACUAUAUAUAUGAUCCUUCUGCAAGUAGUAGUAGAUUACAGCAACUGAUGGUCCUGACUCCUGACCGCAGGGUACCGUGCGUGCGGCGGGGCGGCGUGCGGUUCACCAUCAACGGCCAUGACUACUUCCAGCUUGUUCUAUUGACCAACGUCGCGACCAUUGGCUCGAUCAAGACGAUGGAUGUCAAGGGCUCCGAAUCACCCGACUGGAUGCCGAUGGCACGCAACUGGGGGGCGAAUUGGCACUCUCUCGCGUACCUCACGGGGCAGAGGCUCUCGUUCAGGGUGACCAACGAUGAUGGGCAGACUCUUACGUUCACAAAUGUGGUGCCAUCCGGCUGGAAGUUCGGCCAGACAUUUGCUAGCAACGUGCAGUUUAAGUGA